CAGGCAUAACACAUGCAAGUCGAACGGUAACAGGAAGCAGCUUGCUGCUUCGCUGACAAGUGGCGGACGGGUGAGUAAUGUCUGGGAAACUGCCUGAUGGAGGGGGAUAACUACUGGAAACGGUAGCUAAUACCGCAUAAUGUCGCAAGACCAAAGAGGGGGACCUUCGGGCCUCUUGCCAUCGGAUGUGCCCAGAUGGGAUUAGCUAGUAGGUGGGGUAACGGCUCACCUAGGCGACGAUCCCUAGCUGGUCUGAGAGGAUGACCAGCCACACUGGAACUGAGACACGGUCCAGACUCCUACGGGAGGCAGCAGUGGGGAAUAUUGCACAAUGGGCGCAAGCCUGAUGCAGCCAUGCCGCGUGUAUGAAGAAGGCCUUCGGGCUGUAAAGUACUUUCAGCGAGGAGGAAGGCGAUAAGGUUAAUAACCUUGUCGAUUGACGUUACUCGCAGAAGAAGCACCGGCUAACUCCGUGCCAGCAGCCGCGGUAAU
Molecule: ribosomal RNA, 492 nt
Filed under: uncultured bacterium
Lineage: Bacteria
Description: bacterial SSU rRNA
Rfam family: Bacterial small subunit ribosomal RNA
Source: RNAcentral